RNAcentral lists this ribosomal RNA (1721 nucleotides) under Escherichia coli. RNAcentral's name for it is "partial 23S ribosomal RNA". It matches the Rfam family "Bacterial large subunit ribosomal RNA", at positions 1 to 1756 of the family's 2925-position model. The record is from RNAcentral. Lineage: Bacteria; Pseudomonadati; Pseudomonadota; Gammaproteobacteria; Enterobacterales; Enterobacteriaceae.
GGGUUGUGAGGUUAAGCGACUAAGCGUACACGGUGGAUGCCCUGGCAGUCAGAGGCGAUGAAGGACGUGCUAAUCUGCGAUAAGCGUCGGUAAGGUGAUAUGAACCGUUAUAACCGGCGAUUUCCGAAUGGGGAAACCCAGUGUGAUUCGUCACACUAUCAUUAACUGAAUCCAUAGGUUAAUGAGGCGAACCGGGGGAACUGAAACAUCUAAGUACCCCGAGGAAAAGAAAUCAACCGAGAUUCCCCCAGUAGCGGCGAGCGAACGGGGAGCAGCCCAGAGCCUGAAUCAGUGUGUGUGUUAGUGGAAGCGUCUGGAAAGGCGCGCGAUACAGGGUGACAGCCCCGUACACAAAAAUGCACAUGCUGUGAGCUCGAUGAGUAGGGCGGGACACGUGGUAUCCUGUCUGAAUAUGGGGGGACCAUCCUCCAAGGCUAAAUACUCCUGACUGACCGAUAGUGAACCAGUACCGUGAGGGAAAGGCGAAAAGAACCCCGGCGAGGGGAGUGAAAAAGAACCUGAAACCGUGUACGUACAAGCAGUGGGAGCCUCUUAAUGGGGUGACUGCGUACCUUUUGUAUAAUGGGUCAGCGACUUAUAUUCUGUAGCAAGGUUAACCGAAUAGGGGAGCCGAAGGGAAACCGAGUCUUAACUGGGCGUUAAGUUGCAGGGUAUAGACCCGAAACCCGGUGAUCUAGCCAUGGGCAGGUUGAAGGUUGGGUAACACUAACUGGAGGACCGAACCGACUAAUGUUGAAAAAUUAGCGGAUGACUUGUGGCUGGGGGUGAAAGGCCAAUCAAACCGGGAGAUAGCUGGUUCUCCCCGAAAGCUAUUUAGGUAGCGCCUCGUGAAUUCAUCUCCGGGGGUAGAGCACUGUUUCGGCAAGGGGGUCAUCCCGACUUACCAACCCGAUGCAAACUGCGAAUACCGGAGAAUGUUAUCACGGGAGACACACGGCGGGUGCUAACGUCCGUCGUGAAGAGGGAAACAACCCAGACCGCCAGCUAAGGUCCCAAAGUCAUGGUUAAGUGGGAAACGAUGUGGGAAGGCCCAGACAGCCAGGAUGUUGGCUUAGAAGCAGCCAUCAUUUAAAGAAAGCGUAAUAGCUCACUGGUCGAGUCGGCCUGCGCGGAAGAUGUAACGGGGCUAAACCAUGCACCGAAGCUGCGGCAGCGACGCUUAUGCGUUGUUGGGUAGGGGAGCGUUCUGUAAGCCUGCGAAGGUGUACUGUGAGGUAUGCUGGAGGUAUCAGAAGUGCGAAUGCUGACAUAAGUAACGAUAAAGCGGGUGAAAAGCCCGCUCGCCGGAAGACCAAGGGUUCCUGUCCAACGUUAAUCGGGGCAGGGUGAGUCGACCCCUAAGGCGAGGCCGAAAGGCGUAGUCGAUGGGAAACAGGUUAAUAUUCCUGUACUUGGUGUUACUGCGAAGGGGGGACGGAGAAGGCUAUGUUGGCCGGGCGACGGUUGUCCCGGUUUAAGCGUGUAGGCUGGUUUUCCAGGCAAAUCCGGAAAAUCAAGGCUGAGGCGUGAUGACGAGGCACUACGGUGCUGAAGCAACAAAUGCCCUGCUUCCAGGAAAAGCCUCUAAGCAUCAGGUAACAUCAAAUCGUACCCCAAACCGACACAGGUGGUCAGGUAGAGAAUACCAAGGCGCUUGAGAGAACUCGGGUGAAGGAACUAGGCAAAAUGGUGCCGUAACUUCGGGAGAAGGCACGCUGAUA